AGAUGUGAGGAUGCCCCGGCUGCAACAUCUCACCCCACUGAGCCCCAGGGUUGACUCAGCUGAUCUGGCUGGCUAGGUGGGUCUCAGCUUCCUCCCACACCACUCUAUGUGCAUCCCUCCCCAAGCCACGCUCUGCUGAAGAGGACACCCUUCCCUGAUAGAAGGAGGACCAUCCUUCAGUCAAGGUAAAUGAGUAGCUGCGUUCCCCUAUUUGACCUCCAAACAAGUAUCAAGAAAGCAGUAUCGCCCAUAUAUUUACUACGCUAUGCUCUGUUUGCUUUCGUAUGAUAGCAUGGCAGU
This 300-nucleotide small nuclear RNA is filed under the name Echinops telfairi (small Madagascar hedgehog). RNAcentral's name for it is "7SK RNA (ENSETEG00000024621.1)". It matches the Rfam family "7SK RNA", at positions 1 to 268 of the family's 331-position model. Rfam says of the family: 7SK was discovered as an abundant small nuclear RNA in the mid-70s but a possible function has only recently been suggested. Two independent studies have found that 7SK RNA binds the CDK9/cyclin T complex (known as elongation factor P-TEFb). P-TEFb activates transcription by phosphorylating the C-terminal domain of RNA polymerase II. The record is from RNAcentral. Lineage: Eukaryota; Metazoa; Chordata; Mammalia; Afrosoricida; Tenrecidae.